Molecule: long non-coding RNA, 821 nt
Filed under: Crocodylus porosus (Australian saltwater crocodile)
Lineage: Eukaryota; Metazoa; Chordata; Crocodylia; Crocodylidae
Description: lncRNA (ENSCPRG00005006045.1)
Source: RNAcentral
UGGCUGUCAAGACAUACCCAGCUUUUGGAUAGCCUGCAUAGGGAGUUCCUAUUCUGCUUCGUGGGUGGAUGGUCCAAAUUACACUCUAGCCUCAGGAAGCAGAGAAGCGGUGAAGCGGAGCAACAAGCAAGAUCAUUGUAGGCACCAAGGAUCUUUUGAUGAAGGGGUAAAAUAUAGUUUCAUUCAUGGUCAGAUGAAUAGAAGUGGGCAGCUGGAGUUCAAUAUUGAGCACACUGAUCGCAUUCCCCCUACCUUGGUUAACAACAAAGGCAUCCAUGUAGUGGAGAGUGGCACAGGAGUGAUCUCACCAGAUGUUCUUCAUCUUACCGGCCUGGACAGUCCAUUAAAGAACCUGACUUAUAUAUAGUGACUCAGCACCCACAGUAUGGCCACCUAUACAUGAAAGAGACUGUUUUGUACUGGAGCCAGUUUAUACAGGUGGAUGUUAAUGACAUGGAAGUAUACUACAGACACGGCAGAUGUGCUGGGCAAAUAGAUAAGUGUUCAUUUAUAGCUACAGAAAAGUCACUUGUGGCUUUCUGGUCAAUGGGCAAAUGAGAGAAAAGCCAGUGGAAUUUGUAAUACAGAGAGAACAGCAACACAAAAUAUUUCCAAAUCUCCUUGUGAAAGAGAGUCUGACCAUCAUACAGAGCCUGCAGGAUGGCAGGGUUAGAGCUCCAAUCGCAUCUUGCCAUCUGAAAGCUGCAGGUAUCUACAGCAAAGAAGAUGAUCUCAUUUUCAGUCUGUCACUUUCCUUUCUUUGGCUAUCUGGAAAAUUCAAAAACAGGCAGCUACGUACGCAGUACUUUUACCCAGAAUGA